Molecule: long non-coding RNA, 442 nt
Organism: Lolium rigidum
Lineage: Eukaryota; Viridiplantae; Streptophyta; Magnoliopsida; Poales; Poaceae
Exons: 3
Source: RefSeq, a predicted model, not a curated record
CAGGUCCGGCCACGCCCUCGCCAACCGCGCCAUCUCUCAGGCUCCCAGGGCUCCCCUUCAUACGACGUCGCCCCUGCUCUCCAGGCUCGGAUCGGUGGCCCGCGCUUUCAGCUCGAAGCCCUCAGCGGCCGAUGUCAUCGGGAUUGAUUUGGGCACGACCAACUCAUGUGUCUCCGUCAUGGAAGGAAAGGUGUGGUCUUUUUCCCCCUAACCACUCUGAAAUUUACCAUGAUCUCUUGCCUGGAAGACUGUUCUACUGUCCCCGCAAUUGCUGUAUCUGGAUGCAAUUAGUAAUGCAUCUUCUCAUGCUGUGAAGUUGAAUUUGAUCACUUUACCUUUAGUUGUUAGUAAAAUCGGUGACACUGCUAGUAAAACGUUGUGAAAUUGCAGUUUGAUGGCCACUAUAUCUCAAUUGGUAGUGAAUCGCAGACUGAAUCUGCUA